UUUGAUAAAGGAAGUCACUAUUCUAGGGCACAUACAUACACUCUUGAGAAAGUAACAAAGAUAUUCACAAGAGAAAUAAUUCAGAUUUCAUGUCAGAGAAAAAUCUCUGUCACUAAACAAUUUACUAGCCAUGGAUUAAUUUAUACGAUUUGAAUGACUGGUAAUAUGACUAAUAUAGUACUGCAUUGAUCAAUUUAAUCAAUGUUUAUAUGACUGUCAUUGACCUAAACAUACUUAUAAUUAACGCUUUAAGUGUUUUGGUUUAGAUUUUUCCUUUUUAUUUUUGAUAAUAUAGUAAAUGGAUGGGGGAGAAACAAUGAACUUAACGUUAAUUCAUAUGAUCAUCAUUUUAGGCUUUGUCAUUGUUGUUCGAGUUGAAACAAUAAACCGUUUAAACCAGCAUAAACUAUAAAAUGUUCUACGAUUAGGAGUUGGACUGUCUGAAAAUAAAUAACUUUUAAAUUUUUCGAGGUU
This is a non-coding RNA of Schizosaccharomyces pombe (fission yeast), 474 nucleotides long. NCBI's taxonomy places the organism in Eukaryota, Fungi, Ascomycota, Schizosaccharomycetes, Schizosaccharomycetales, Schizosaccharomycetaceae. The record is from the annotation of a GenBank genome assembly.